UUUUUCCUCCACUGGAACACAGAUGAGUAUUUCAACAAUUAGACCAAACUGGGAGGAACUGCCCAAGGAAACAGCAAAGCAGGCUUAAGAAAUCAGAUACCCUACAUCUCCAACCUAUCCACUGCACGGGAUCAUUAUCUAGGCGCGGGCUCAGCAGGCAGCACAAAUCAAGAUCAGAUAACAUAGAGGCUGAGCAAUAAGAGAUCCGCCCCAGGAAAUAAUAAAUGACCACAAAGCCAGGAAGCAUCCAGUAACCUAAUUGCCAAGACCUGUCUGGAUGACAGUCCCUACAGGAUUGUCAGCCCACCUAGGUCACAAAGGCAAGCAGCACAGAAUUCAUAAUCUCUGCAAACAACCAGUCCAAGAGAGAUGCCUCAGAUUCUUUGGAUUAUAUCGAGUCCUUUACUAACUUUAUAGCUGGAAUUUUAUCACCAGGGAGUUGUAAUACUCUUAGGAACCACCAGGUAUAGCUGAUGUAAGCAAAACAAGAAAGUAUGUUGGCGUUGAAGACAGAUUCUUAUUGGUAAAUAUUAGUAAACAUCGAUUUCGCUGUACAGCUACAAUUUGACAAAAAGUAUUUCCAUCAAUAAUAAUCAAAAUGUACAGACAGGCAAAGUACAGCCUCUCUCCGAGUUAUGAACGAGUUACGGACCAAACACUUGCCCGUAACUUGAUCCGUUCGUAACUCAGACCCUAUUGAGUUAUAUGUGACCGCGCUGUUCGUAAGCACGGGUCACAUUCAUAACUCGGGGACCGUCUUUACGACCGCUCCAUGGGAGCUUUGGUCGUAAGUGUGAACGGUCAUAACUCAACUGUUGUCAACUCGGGGAGCGGCUGUAUUAAAAUUGUGCUGGAGAACUUAUUACGGUUCAAUCUAAGGCUGUUUACUUCGUAUAUUUUGACAUGAGAUAUCGACAGCUUGUGCUUUGACAGUUUUAAACCUUUAAAUUUUUGAAGACCAAAGUCUAUUUCCACUAAAUAAUUAUUGUCCGAUUCCCACUGAGAAUUUACCCAACUAUGAACAUUUAAAAUCAACAAGCAUGUAAAAGUAUGUUUAAAGAACUAAACAUCAAUAGUAUCUGUCAAAAUUAUACAAAAAUAAAAAUCAGAUUCUGCCAAGCUUAAUUAUAUGGAAUCAAAACAUUGCAGGGCAUACAGACAUCUUCAAUUGUCAUUGAUUUUUUAAAAUCAUUUGGGUCUCCACUAAUCAUUAUCACAACCAUGCUUCAUGGCACUGACCUUAACCAAACACACAGUUCCUUGCUACAUCCCUGCUUUGGUGAAAUUUUAAGCUGUUUAUCUGCUUUCUCUAUCCUUCCCAUACAGUUUUGUGUCACUAAUGGACAAGAUCUCUGCUCUUUCAAUAAAUAUACAUAACUCCCCCCCAUCUGAAAACUGCACGUUUGCUUCAUAUUAAAUUACCUACCCCAUAA
Pelodiscus sinensis (Chinese soft-shelled turtle) is the source of this 1433-nucleotide non-coding RNA. NCBI's taxonomy places the organism in Eukaryota, Metazoa, Chordata, Testudines, Trionychidae. The record is from RefSeq and is a predicted model, not a curated record.